Molecule: transfer RNA, 90 nt
Filed under: Actinomadura macrotermitis
Lineage: Bacteria; Bacillati; Actinomycetota; Actinomycetes; Streptosporangiales; Thermomonosporaceae
Description: Actinomadura sp. RB68 tRNA-Gly
Source: RNAcentral
GUCGGUGGUGGCGGAGGAGACGCCGUGGCCCGACCGCGGCCACGCGCCCCGCGCGGGCGUGUCGGGGUUCGGGUUCGGCGGCACCAACGC